Molecule: ribosomal RNA, 253 nt
Filed under: uncultured bacterium
Lineage: Bacteria
Description: partial 16S ribosomal RNA
Rfam family: Bacterial small subunit ribosomal RNA
Source: RNAcentral
UACGGAGGGGGCUAGCGUUGUUCGGAAUUACUGGGCGUAAAGCGCACGUAGGCGGCUUUGUAAGUUAGAGGUGAAAGCCUGGUGCUCAACACCAGAACUGCCUUUAAGACUGCAUCGCUUGAACACGGGAGAGGUGAGUGGAAUUCCGGGUGUAGAGGUGAAAUUCGUAGAUAUUCGGAAGAACACCAGUGGCGAAGGCGGCUCACUGGACCGUUGUUGACGCUGAGGUGCGAAAGCGUGGGGAGCAAACAGG